This 486-nucleotide ribosomal RNA is filed under the name uncultured Rhodoferax sp. Its description in RNAcentral is "bacterial SSU rRNA". It matches the Rfam family "Bacterial small subunit ribosomal RNA", at positions 900 to 1382 of the family's 1533-position model. The record is from RNAcentral. Lineage: Bacteria; Pseudomonadati; Pseudomonadota; Betaproteobacteria; Burkholderiales; Comamonadaceae.
CUUAAAGGAAUUGACGGGGACCCGCACAAGCGGUAGAUGAUGUGGUUUAAUUCGAUGCAACGCGAAAACCUUACCCACCUUUGACAUGUACGGAACCCUUUAGAGAUAGAGGGGUGCUCGAAAGAGAGCCGUAACACAGGUGCUGCAUGGCUGUCGUCAGCUCGUGUCGUGAGAUGUUGGGUUAAGUCCCGCAACGAGCGCAACCCUUGUCAUUAGUUGCUACAUUCAGGUUGGGCACUCUAAUGAGACUGCCGGUGACAAGCCGGAGGAAGGGUGGGGAUGACGUCAAGUCCUCAUGGCCCUUAUAGGGUGGGGCUACACACGUCAUACAAUGGCUGGUAACGAAAGGGUUGCCAACCCGCGAGGGGGAGCCAAUCCCAUAAAGCCAGUCGUAGUCCGGAUCGUAGUCUGCAACUCGACUACGUGAAGUCGGAAUCGCUAGUAAUCGUGGAUCAGAAUGUCACGGUGAAUACGUUCCCGGGUCUU